Molecule: long non-coding RNA, 2464 nt
Organism: Oncorhynchus gorbuscha (pink salmon)
Lineage: Eukaryota; Metazoa; Chordata; Actinopteri; Salmoniformes; Salmonidae
Exons: 4
Source: RefSeq, a predicted model, not a curated record
AAGAGGUGGGGUUUCAGGUGUCUCCGGAAGGUGGUGAUUGACUCCGCUGUCCUGGCGUUAGGUACGUGUAAUCGGGCUGUGUGUUAUCGUUUUAACUUCCAGUUUCGAAGAUUAUGUUUCUGUAUGCAGUGCUGCUACUCUGCACAUUUGUAGGUACACUAUCCUUCUGACCCCAUGCAGACAGGUCCCAUCUACCUGAAUUGUGAUAACUGCAGUGGCCAAAACAAGAACACGUUUGUUCUCUGGUAUUGUGCCUGGCGGACUAUGCACAAGCUCCACCAGAGUCUGGACCUUCACAUUUUGAUCACAGGCCACCCCCGACUGGUGCUUCGGCCUCAUCAAGCAGCGCUUCAGAAAGACUAGAGUAAACACCUUGUCUGAGAUUGCUGGUGUUGUGAAGGACAACAAGGGUCAACAUCCCACAGCUGGUUGGACUGGAGGAUGGUACUGUGCUGGUGGAAAGCUAUGGCUGGCAACAACACCUGACUUACAUCAGGCUGCUGCCACAGUUCAGGCAGUUCCAGCACUUCAUUCUUCGAUCCUCUGGAGCCUGGUGUUGUUGUCGCAAAGGAGCGUUUGGACUCUCGGGACCAGGUUUCAGCUGCUGCAUAACACUGACAUCCUUCCUCCCAUAGAUGGUCUGCCUGUACAAGCACCACCUGGACUGGACACAGCUAGACAAACUUAUGUUUUUGAGAAGAUCCGGGAGUUUUGCGACGAAGAGGCUUUGGACAUCACAUGCCCUGCACCAAAGAGGGGAUGUUUUCUUCGGAGGGACUGGGAAACCGGUCAAAAUUGAAGAAAUUAUGAAUGGUGCUAUAUACAGGGAAAUCCUUGAGAGAAACCCGUUUCAGUCUUCCAGAGAUUUGCGACUGGGAUGGACGUUCACCUUCCAGCAGGACAAUGACCCUAAGCAUACUGCUGAAAGCAACAGUUGAGUGGUUUAAGGGGAAACAUUUAAAUGUCUUGGAUUGGCCUAGUCAAAGUCCAGAUGUCAAUCCAAUUGAGAAUCUGUGGUAUGACCUAAAGAGUUUUGUACACCAGAGGAACCAAACUUGAAGGAGCUGGUGCAGUUUUGCCUUGAAGGAUGGGCAAAAAUCCCAGUAGCUAGAUGUGCCAAGCUUAUAGAGACGUACCCCAAGAGACUUGCAGCUAUAAUUGCUGAGAAAGUUAUUAUUAUUAUAACCCCCCAAAUGAUUGAUUUGGGGGGGGUUGAAUAGUUAUGCAGUCUCAAGUUUUCAAUUUGUGCGUCUUAUUUCUAAUUUGUUUCACACAAAAAAAAUAUUUUGCAUCUUGAAAGUGAUAUGCAUGUUAUGUAAAUCAAAUGAAACAAACCCCCCCAAAAUCUAUUUUCAUUCCAGGUUGUGAGCCAACAAAAUAGGAAAAAUGCCAAAGGGGUGAAUACUUUCGCAAGCCACUGUAUUUCAUGAUAAACUGUAGACCACACUACCUACUGUUGUGGUAAUUUCCUGUAUUACUAAAUGAGGAGAAUUUACAAACCACACACCAGUCAGAGUUAUACUUAAACUUCAUCUUUAAUUAUAUGAGCUUCAACAUAGCCCUUUGACUCUCAGAUGAAUUCAGUGUCUAUAAAUUAAUUCUGAGUGCGCCUAUAAGAGAAUAACAAGAUCUUUUAUAGCCAAGAUACACCCCUCUCAACUUACAUGACGAACCACAGAUCUUAGGAACAGUUCCCAAAGAAAGACAUUUACUUGAGAGAGGAGUAUCCCAUAGCCAGAUAGCAUUAGCUAUAAAUUAUCGUUCAGUUUGGUCUCUAAGACAAAGUUCUAAUCUCGUUUUGGUACUUCAUAGUACCAAAACAUUAACUCAUCCAAUGGCAUAUAUCAAUUGUCAACUCUAGAUACUCCCAUCUCAAGUAGAAUCCACUCCUGGACAAGCUCACCGAGGGGAGUGAGCCUCUAGGUCAUAUACUAUGAAAGAUAAGUGCAACAUCAGAUGGGUAAUACAAUGGUUCCAGACACCUCCCCCCAAUGGGAAAAGGAGGGGGUGACUGGCGUACAGACAUUGUGGAGCCCUUCACAUGGUUUAACAGACACAUUCACAUAUGAAGACAAUGUUCCAACCUGACCUCACCCCUCUCUGGGCCCUAAGGGACUUUUCCCUAGCUGAGAAGGGAAAAGUGCAACUGCCAACAAUAUAGUCCAAAAGGAAACAUUCUAAUGACAAGUAUUUCACAUAAGCAUAUUACGUAAAUAAAUAAAACAUCUUAUUUAUCUAUGUUACCUAACUAAUUCUGAUUCAUCCGCAACACUACCUUGAGAGUUUUCAUCUGUAUUCUUCGUAGUGGUUUACAUACCACCAGUCAGAGGCUGGAACUAUUGACAGCAUGGAAUGAGCUGUAUUCCGUGAUAAGCAAACAAGAAAACACUCACCCAGAAGCAGCGCUCCUAGUAGCCGGGAACUGUAAUGCAGGGAAACUUAAAUCGGUUUUACCAAAUUUCUA